RNAcentral lists this long non-coding RNA (503 nucleotides) under Phoenix dactylifera (date palm). RNAcentral's name for it is "long non-coding RNA (PDAC_LNC023082)". The record is from RNAcentral. Lineage: Eukaryota; Viridiplantae; Streptophyta; Magnoliopsida; Arecales; Arecaceae.
AAGCUGGAAUAAUCCGCUGCCAUCCACGGGGAAACCGUCCGAAACGCCGACCGCACCCACCUCUUUAAAGUUUGGAAAAACGACAACCAUCGCCAUUGUUACCGGCAUCACGCGCCUGUUUGUCUUCGUUUAUAUUUAGAGCUUGGCCAGCCGUUUUCUGUUCUCUUCUGCGUGUCUUGUUCCUUCCGCCACCCCUCGUUGGCGUCGUUCUCUCGUUGUUUUCGAAGCUAAACCAAACGCGUUUUGACAGCUCUUUCGACCAUGAAAACAUUCCCACAUCCCUUUACGAAGAAGAGAUUAAUCCCGAAAAUAGCGGUUUAAAGCCCUCCUCCUCGCCUCCCAUGGAAGCAAAUUGUGAUUUGUGAUGGCUCCCUCUCUCAUCUUUCCAGCUACCGGUCCUGUGACGCCCCUUUCCACCUCCAUUUUCUCGUCCCAUAUUCUUUGCUUUCAACCCAUCCAAAGAGCUUCUCAUCGACGAAAGAAGUUGCGAAGGAUUCAAUGAA